AAAAGGGAGGCUGCGCCAUGCAAAGCGUGUACGCACGCGCGCACACACACAGGCAUACACAACGCGAAGAGAAAAUAAACACAAGCGAGCUCAACGACUCCUUCAGCUAAACAUCACUAUACGCAUCUCGUGUUCUUCACAUGAGGUGAGGAGGGGCGCGCCGAAGUGUUGCACCACAUAUCGCCUUUUUCUUUCGCUCGCCCUUUCUCCCUCUCAAAAAGUAGAGAGGAGCUCGUGAAGAAGCGAGAGGCCUCCGCUUCCUUCGGUGCCACAGGUUUUUAUUCUCUCCUCGUCCCCCCCCCUGCACCCAACAACACGGAGGCAACGCGCACACGGCACUCCUCCCCGUCACCUACCACAUACAUACGCACAGGAUCUUUUCCUUUCUGUCGGCUGCGCCCCUUUCCAUUAAAAGCGCGUUUCCAUAGAAAUUUUUUUUUUGUGCAUGAAGCAAGCACCAUCUCCCCCAACAAAAGUGAGUAGUCGCGUAUCAUAGACACGCUCCGGGCUGCCUGCCGUGGCAGCACUUCGGCCCAGACACUCGCCAUUGGGCUGUGUCUGCAACAGAUUUCUCCACCGUCUUUCGCAUAUCACUCUCUCUCCUUGUCUUUCUAACCUCUACGCACACACACGCUGUCCGAGACGGUGUACCCGAGCGGCAGUGGCUUCCCGUCAGCUGAGCAGCGGCUCAGAUACGACAUUUACUUGAAGGCAAGCGUAACACUUCAAAGAGAGAAGGGAGGCCAGCACUGGCUGCAUGCCGCCGAAAGCAAGCAGUGGACGCCCCCGACCACUGCCACCGUCACUGUCGUCGUCUCUGUCUGCGUCUAUAGCGGCGGACGCACCACUCCCGCGAGAGCCCUUCUCCAUCGCGAGUUUCUUCGACGCUGCCAGCGCCCAUCGCAGCAGUGGCGGUGGUGGCUACCGCGUCGACUCUUUCUCGGAUGCACCACCGACGCCGCUCUCUGGCUUCCCGCGUGCGAGUCAUUCCCCUCCCGCUAGCGGGCACCGCACUGCUGCGACUCGCCAGGUGCAGCACCUCGAACAGCCACAGCGGCAACAGCAGCACUGGUCUUCCUCUACACCGGGGCAGUUGAGUUCUUCUCCCCAAAGCGGCGAUGGCGAACACUAUGAGCAGCAGCAGCAGCACAGCACCACGACCAGAGAUGUCUCCAGCACGCUGCAAGAGGUGCGAAGACGUAUCAUCAGCGACCUCGACGCGUCGCGAGAGGGAAGUCGCGAGUCAUCAGGGAAGCUGCACGCUCAUCGACAGCGCGCGCUGCGUGUGGCGUUCGGGGAGGAUGGGGCAUCGCGUCGGCGAGGGUCCCGUGCGUCUUGCGUGAUGACGAGUGAGGGGGGCGCAUCACCGACGGAUGCCAGGCGAUCUAAGUCGCAGCACACGCCUAACGCGGAGAAUGAUGAGGACGACGAGCUCAUGGUUGCCUCCGUAGAGUUUUCGCUGCUGUGCCCCUACUCUCGCCUCCCUAUGCGUUAUCCCGUGCGCAGCAAUGAGUGCAACCACCUGCAGUGCUGCGACUUGGACUCGUGGAUUGUGAUGCUGAACAAGUGUCGCUCCAUGCGUGAUCCGGUCGGGCCGUGCCCGGUGUGCGAGCGCCGCGUCACCUCCUCCUCGCUACAGGUGGACCUUUGGAUGAAGCAUGUCAUUGAUCAGAUGCCAGCGGGCACACAUAUGGUGGCGUUGGAGCCGGACGGCGCCUUCCGCAGUGGUGACACCACUCGAGAGCGGCGCAAAGAGCAGAUGAUUAUGGAGGUGGUGGACGCGACACAAGACGACUACGAGAACUACUUUGGGGAUGUGGUGGACGGCGACGAUGACGUUGUGGUGCAGAGGCAUCCUGUCACCACGUCUGAUGCUUCAACCGGCACAUCCGCCGCGCUUUUCCCGGUCGGCUCGCGUCGCCCUCGCAUGGAAUCGCCUGCGGCCCCCGAAGCGAGAUCUGGUGUGCCGAGCGCCGGCGGGGACCACCGAGCCGGCUCACCCCCACUGGCGCAGGUCAAAACAGAGAAGGCCGCCAUACUGGCCGCUGAGGCCGAGGCAGCAGCGGGGACGUCGCCUUCUGUCCCCACUUCUCAAGAGGAUGGGGGUGUCGUUGUCGUGCACUUUGUUGAGGGCCGACACGACGGGUUGCAGGCGCUGCCUAGUCAAAUCCGGCUGUGGGCGCUACACUGCACCCGAUGCGGGGCGCCGCGGGUGAAGGCGGAAGAUGGCUUGGUGCAAGGCUGUCAGCGAUGUGGGCACGACGCAAAGGGCGACUGGAACUUUGUCCGCCGCUUCGAGGCGUCGUCUAGUGUGUCGAUGGAGCUGGUUCCGGAUGGCACGCUGGUGCUGCAAGGCGUCGACAUCCUUGCGCCGUACCUAUAUCGCGCCGGCUUCUACCGCAGCCUGUUCGAAGUGAUGGAGUACGCCUCCGUGGCGGAGCGGCAGCAGCAGCAGUAUCGACCGCCAGCGGAUGUGUGGACUUCGUCGUUUCCGCUGAACCGCUUCGAGAUCGAUUUCCUCGAGGCCUGCUGUGCGCGCAUCGCGCAGGGCGAGACGCUCGACUCCAUUGAGUCGAUGAUUGUGCCGAGCCUGUUUCGCAUUCCUCGUCGGCGCCGACCAGGCGGCAGUGGCCAGACAUCCUUCACACAGAUGGGCCACGGCAGCGGCCGACACGGCGGGCUGGGCUUGGCGACCGCGUCGCAGGCUCACUGAAGUGCCUCACUCACCCAACCGGAGGGCUCGCGCUUGACGUCGCAAGCGCUGGGCGAUGGCGGGCUUAAUCGAUGCGUGCCGCACGUAACGCGGUCUCUUUUUCCUUUUCGACAACCUCUCUUUACGUCGAUGACGUGCGCAGGCGGAAGCGCUCUGCUUUGUGGCUCUGACAUCGUUUGCCUUGCUUUGGCGUGGCCUUAUCCACCUGUCUCUGUCUCUCCCUCACCGAUUCGUUUCGCCUCCGUCGGCUUGGCAGCAUCUACGCGACCGGCACUCGAACUCGAUACUUAAUACGUCGACGCCCCGCGGUGAGGGCAUCUCGCAGAGAGGCGCCAUUCCUUACUCCGUAGACAGCGGCACUCUUGACCCACCUCCUCCGUUGCCCGCUUUCUGUACGUUGUCUGUUUCUCCGUUCCGCGUGGCGUCUCUGCAAAGGCGAAAAAA
Molecule: unclassified non-coding RNA, 3157 nt
Filed under: Leishmania donovani
Lineage: Eukaryota; Euglenozoa; Kinetoplastea; Trypanosomatida; Trypanosomatidae
Description: gene:LdHU3.32.4130(CDS-product:Zinc-finger_of_the _MIZ_type_in_Nse_subunit/MIZ/SP-RING_zinc_finger_containing _protein_putative)
Source: RNAcentral